AAUAUUAAGUUGGGGUGCCACGAGCUGAGAUUAAACCCAUUGAACCUGAUAUAGUUAAAGCUAUCGCAGGAAACUUAUCCAAUUUAGAU
RNAcentral lists this non-coding RNA (89 nucleotides) under Fructilactobacillus lindneri. RNAcentral's name for it is "Lactobacillus lindneri TPP sequence". It matches the Rfam family "TPP riboswitch aptamer (THI element)". Rfam says of the family: Vitamin B(1) in its active form thiamin pyrophosphate (TPP) is an essential coenzyme that is synthesised by coupling of pyrimidine and thiazole moieties in bacteria. The previously detected thiamin-regulatory element, thi box was extended, resulting in a new, highly conserved RNA secondary structure, the THI element, which is widely distributed in eubacteria and also occurs in some archaea. RNAcentral also lists the same sequence under 1 other name. The record is from RNAcentral. Lineage: Bacteria; Bacillati; Bacillota; Bacilli; Lactobacillales; Lactobacillaceae.